AUCCUUUUGUGGUUCACACAUGUGAUGAUUGGUUUUUCACAUUCACAUGUGAGAUGCGCCUCCCUCCAACCUUGUUAUGAUGUCAGCACAUUACCUAGCUGACA
Callithrix jacchus (white-tufted-ear marmoset) is the source of this 104-nucleotide small nucleolar RNA. The record is from Ensembl. Lineage: Eukaryota; Metazoa; Chordata; Mammalia; Primates; Cebidae.